RNAcentral lists this long non-coding RNA (341 nucleotides) under Physcomitrium patens. Its description in RNAcentral is "long non-coding RNA (PPAT_LNC002970)". The record is from RNAcentral. Lineage: Eukaryota; Viridiplantae; Streptophyta; Bryopsida; Funariales; Funariaceae.
ACAAUGCUUUCUCCCAAUAACAAUACUCCUUCAUCAACUGAUAACAACAGUGUGCAACCCUAUACUUUCAAAAGAUCACUCAAAACACAUAAUUUCCAUCCAACACCAGAAAUAAUAGACUUCACUCCAACCAAUCUCAAUUCACAGAAUUUCUGUAAUCACCAACUUCUUUUUUCCAAAAUACACACAGCUCUCAAUAAACAAAAAUCAUAAUCUUCCAAUAACUCCUCAUAUAAUUCAAUCACUCAGUAUUCCAAUUACAUAAUCAAUAACUCAUAAAUCAAUCUUUGAUUUAUUCCACAGACUUACUUCUCAAUAUUCAAAAACUAUCCAUUAUUCUU